AGGUAAGCUACUAAGAGCGAAUGGUGGAUGCCUUGACUGGUAAAGGCGAUGAAGGACGUACUAGACUGCGAUAAGCUACGGGGAGCUGUCAAGAAGCUUUGAUCCGUAGAUUUCCGAAUGGGGCAACCCAAUGUAUAGAGAUAUACAUUACCUAUAUAGGAGCGAACGAGGGGAAUUGAAACAUCUUAGUACCCUCAGGAAAAGAAAUCAAUAGAGAUUGCGUCAGUAGCGGCGAGCGAAAGCGCAAGAGGGCAAACCCAGUGCUUGCACUGGGGGUUGUAGGACUGCAAUGUGCAAGAGCUGAGUUUAGCAGAACAUUCUGGAAAGUAUAGCCAUAGAGGGUGAUAGUCCCGUAUGCGAAAAACAAAGCUUAGCUAGCAGUAUCCUGAGUAGGGCGGGACACGAGGAAUCCUGUCUGAAUCCGGGUCGACCACGAUCCAACCCUAAAUACUAAUACCAGAUCGAUAGUGCACAAGUACCGUGAGGGAAAGGUGAAAAGAACUGAGGUGAUCAGAGUGAAAUAGAACCUGAAACCAUUUGCUUACAAUCAUUCAGAGCACUAUGUAGCAAUACAGUGUGAUGGACUGCCUUUUGCAUAAUGAGCCUGCGAGUUGUGGUGUCUGGCAAGGUUAAGCAAACGCGAAGCCGUAGCGAAAGCGAGUCUGAAUAGGGCGCUUAGUCAGAUGCUGCAGACCCGAAACGAAGUGAUCUAUCCAUGAGCAAGUUGAAGCUAGUGUAAGAACUAGUGGAGGACUGAACCCAUAGGCGUUGAAAAGCCCCGGGAUGACUUGUGGAUAGGGGUGAAAGGCCAAUCAAACUUCGUGAUAGCUGGUUCUCUCCGAAAUAUAUUUAGGUAUAGCGUUGUGUCGUAAUAUAAGGGGGUAGAGCACUGAAUGGGCUAGGGCAUACACCAAUGUACCAAACCCUAUCAAACUCCGAAUACCUUAUAUGUAAUCACAGCAGUCAGGCGGCGAGUGAUAAAAUCCGUCGUCAAGAGGGAAACAACCCAGACUACCAGCUAAGGUCCCUAAAUCUUACUUAAGUGGAAAACGAUGUGAAGUUACUUAAACAACCAGGAGGUUGGCUUAGAAGCAGCCAUCCUUUAAAGAAAGCGUAAUAGCUCACUGGUCUAGUGAUUUUGCGCGGAAAAUAUAACGGGGCUAAAGUAAGUACCGAAGCUGUAGACUUGCGCACAACUUAGAUUAUUUAAGUUUAGAAUAUGAGAAACUAAGUUAUAUUUUUACUGAUUUUUAUAGAGUAAAGAUAGAAAUAAAACUUAGUAAAAUCAGUAAAAAUAUUCUUAGGCUAAAGUUAAGUAGUUUAAGUUGUGUGCAAGUGGUAGGAGAGCGUUCUAUUUGCGUCGAAGGUAUACCGGUAAGGAGUGCUGGAGCGAAUAGAAGUGAGCAUGCAGGCAUGAGUAGCGAUAAUUAAUGUGAGAAUCAUUAACGCCGUAAACCCAAGGUUUCCUACGCGAUGCUCGUCAUCGUAGGGUUAGUCGGGUCCUAAGUCGAGUCCGAAAGGGGUAGACGAUGGCAAAUUGGUUAAUAUUCCAAUACCAACAUUAGUGUGCGAUGGAAGGACGCUUAGGGCUAAGGGGGCUAGCGGAUGGAAGUGCUAGUCUAAGGUCGUAGGAGGUUAUACAGGCAAAUCCGUAUAACAAUACUCCGAGAACUGAAAGGCUUUUUGAAGUCUUCGGAUGGAUAGAAGAACCCCUGAUGCCGUCGAGCCAAGAAAAGUUUCUAAGUUUAGCUAAUGUUGCCCGUACCGUAAACCGACACAGGUGGGUGGGAUGAGUAUUCUAAGGCGCGUGGAAGAACUCUCUUUAAGGAACUCUGCAAAAUAGCACCGUAUCUUCGGUAUAAGGUGUGGUUAGCUUCGUACUAGGAUUUACUCCGAAAGCGAAGAAACUUACAACAAAGAGUCCCUCCCGACUGUUUACCAAAAACACAGCACUCUGCUAACUCGUAAGAGGAUGUAUAGGGUGUGACGCCUGCCCGGUGCUCGAAGGUUAAUUGAUGGGGUUAGCAUUAGCGAAGCUCUUGAUCGAAGCCCGAGUAAACGGCGGCCGUAACUAUAACGGUCCUAAGGUAGCGAAAUUCCUUGUCGGUUAAAUACCGACCUGCAUGAAUGGCGUAACGAGAUGGGAGCUGUCUCAAAGAGGGAUCCAGUGAAAUUGUAGUGGAGGUGAAAAUUCCUCCUACCCGCGGCAAGACGGAAAGACCCCGUGGACCUUUACUACAGCUUGACACUGCUAUUUGGAUAAGAAUGUGCAGGAUAGGUGGGAGGCUUUGA
Molecule: ribosomal RNA, 2292 nt
Filed under: Campylobacter jejuni
Lineage: Bacteria; Pseudomonadati; Campylobacterota; Epsilonproteobacteria; Campylobacterales; Campylobacteraceae
Description: partial 23S ribosomal RNA
Rfam family: Bacterial large subunit ribosomal RNA
Source: RNAcentral